RNAcentral lists this ribosomal RNA (257 nucleotides) under uncultured Prevotella sp. RNAcentral describes it as "partial 16S ribosomal RNA". It matches the Rfam family "Bacterial small subunit ribosomal RNA", at positions 99 to 356 of the family's 1533-position model. The record is from RNAcentral. Lineage: Bacteria; Pseudomonadati; Bacteroidota; Bacteroidia; Bacteroidales; Prevotellaceae.
CGCACGGGUGAGUAACGCGUAUCCAACCUUCCCAUUACUGUGGGAUAACCUGCCGAAAGGCAGACUAAUACCGCAUAGUCUUCGAUGACGGCAUCAGAUUUGAAGUAAAGAUUUAUCGGUAAUGGAUGGGGAUGCGUCUGAUUAGCUUGUUGGCGGGGUAACGGCCCACCAAGGCGAUGAUAGGUAGCCGGCCUGAGAGGGUGGACGGCCACAAGGGGACUGAGAUACGGCCCUUACUCCUACGGGAGGCAGCAGCG